CUGCCUUGCCCAUUCCUUACCAUAGAAAACCACAAUAAAGCCUCUAGCCCGUUUCCCCUCACUCCCUCUGCCUCCUGAACAACCCUGAUGCUUCCCUGUGUGGUCCCUUGUGGCAUAGAGUGCCCCCUCUUCUCAGGAACUAUGGUGAUGGCCAGGGUGCACAAGACCCCGGUGAAGGAUGGGAAAAAGAGCAAGAAGAUGAAGAAAGUCAUCAUCUGUGAGGCCCGCCAGGCUUUGCUCGGAGGCUGGAAAUUCAUCAUCAGGCUGAUCUGAAGAGAGAGAGGCAGCCACCUCCCAUCUGCAGCCGGAGCAGCGGCAGAGGGACCCCAGCCAGGCCUGGCUUCCUGACACCUUUGCAGAGCCCCCUUCCCCAGCUUUAAGCGCCACCAGGUCACAGGUGACUGAACAAAGCUGAUUGAUGGCAAUGUCGGACUGACUCACAUUUUUGGAGUAGAACAUGAUGAAAAGCAUAAUCAUUUGGAUAAAGGGCAGCAGGGGGCAGAAGAAGAUGCCAAUCCUGUGAGGGAGAGAGGAAUCGUAACACUGAAAUGUGGUGCUGAAGUCAGAGCACGUAACACAAGGGAAGAAGUUUAUGGAGUUGGGGAUCUCAAAGAUCACAAAGGAAAACAACAAAAAAAACACAUAUAUGUGUUAAAGCUCAAAGUGAGAGCAAAUGAAUAAUGGCUGCACUUUAUUCCAAUUCAGUGUUUUUCUCUUUCCUGUAACAAAAAACAUUUAGCAAAGUCAA
Molecule: long non-coding RNA, 748 nt
Organism: Homo sapiens (human)
Lineage: Eukaryota; Metazoa; Chordata; Mammalia; Primates; Hominidae
Source: Ensembl